CGUUUAGGGGUAAACCUGAGAAACCCGAAAGGUCGAAGGGAGAAAUUCAUUCGCGUUUCGUCGAUGAGGUCGAGUCGUCGUCGAGACGCGGUCGGGUUUCGGUCCGAUCGCGCUCCUUCGAUUCGUCGAGUCGUCGGCGAACGCGUGCACUUUUCUUCUGGUAGGACGUCGCGAUCCGUUGAGUGUCGGUCUACGGUCCGGAGUGGUGUCCGUGCGUGCCUCGGCACGUACGAACCUUCGGUAUCCCGGCCGACUCGCUCGACGGUAUAUUUGUGGUGUUGGACCGCUCCCCGUGAGCGUUCGACUCGCGACAAGCGUAUCAGAUGCGUCGGUGAUCGGACCCGGUGCCGAUCCUGGCCCCUGGUUGCUGUUAGUUGCGAAGCUCUCGAACAGUGUCUAUCUACGCCCAUCUGCGACGCUAUAGCUUUGGGUACUUUCAGGACCCGUCUUGAAACACGGACCAAGGAGUCUAGCAUGUACGCGAGUCAUUGGGAUUUUUAACUAAACCUAAAGGCGUAAUGAAAGUGAAGGUUUUCCUCGUGAAAACUGAGGGAAGACGGGUCGAUCGACAGGUCGGCCCCGCAUUCCCGGGGCGUCUCGUUCUCAUCGCGAGAAGAGGCGCACCUAGAGCGUACACGCUGGGACCCGAAAGAUGGUGAACUAUGCCUGGU
Molecule: ribosomal RNA, 671 nt
Filed under: Microborus aberrans
Lineage: Eukaryota; Metazoa; Arthropoda; Insecta; Coleoptera; Curculionidae
Description: eukaryotic LSU rRNA
Rfam family: Eukaryotic large subunit ribosomal RNA
Source: RNAcentral